CAGCAGAGUUUGAUCCUGGCUCAGGACGAACGCUGGCGGCGUGCGUAAUACAUGCAAGUCGAGCGGGCCAGCCGUAAGGCUGGUUAGCGGCGGACGGGUGAGUAACGCGUGAGUGACCUAGCCUUAGGUGGGGGGUAACUGCCCGAAAGGGUGGCUAAUCCCGCAUGGGUCCAGGCGUGCAAGCGCUUGGAGAAAGCCGCAAGGCGCCCAAGGGGGGGCUCGCGUCCCAUUAGGUGGUUGGUGGGGUAACGGCCUACCAAGCCUCGGAUGGGUAGCUGGUCUGAGAGGAUGGCCGGCCACACUGGGACUGAGAAACGGCCCAGACUCCUACGGGGGGCAGCAGUAAGGAAUCUUCGGCAAUGGCCGCAAGGCUGACCGAGCGACGCCGCGUGGGUGAAGAAGGUCUGAGGAUUGUAAAGCCCUGUUGACCGGGAAGAGGAUGGACGGUACCGGUCGAGGAAGCCCCGGCUAACUACGUGCCAGCAGCCGCGGUAGUCGGCCCAAUCGCC
This 509-nucleotide ribosomal RNA is filed under the name uncultured bacterium. RNAcentral's name for it is "bacterial SSU rRNA". It matches the Rfam family "Bacterial small subunit ribosomal RNA", at positions 1 to 542 of the family's 1533-position model. The record is from RNAcentral.